This 2359-nucleotide long non-coding RNA is filed under the name Solanum tuberosum (potato). RNAcentral describes it as "long non-coding RNA (STUB_LNC010142)". The record is from RNAcentral. Lineage: Eukaryota; Viridiplantae; Streptophyta; Magnoliopsida; Solanales; Solanaceae.
GCAAUACUAACAAAAAAAAUAAAAAUCGUUCAGCGACAAAAGAAAAGUUAAGUUCGGGGUUUUUAUUCGUGGUUUUUAAUUUGUGGUUCCAGUUGUGGUUUUUUCUUUGUGAAUUAAUUUUCACAAGAGGUAAUACUUAAUCCUUUUUAUAUAGUUUAAUGUCAUGAUUAUACAAGCAUUGGUUACAAUUUAUUGAAAUUGUUAAAUUUUAUAUAUUUUUAAACCAUUAAUAUUCGUUGAUGUUAUAAUAUGAAGAAUGUUCAAAUCUUUCAUAUCAACUUUAUGUUUAGAUAUUUUAUAUCAUUAGACUUAGUGCGAAAUUGUUAUAGCAAACCUUAUUUUAUUUCAGGUUUAAACAACCCAUGAUUUAUUUCAUGUUUAAGUAAAAUUAUUGUCUACGUUUAUUCUUGCUUUUAUAUUUUGAUUCGCUUACGAUGAUACAUGCAUUUAUGGCUUAACAAACUGAAAUGAUGAGAAUAAUUAAUAACAAAUAUUUAUUAUGUAAGAUAUUAAUUUUAAUUAGUAGGUUUUUCUUUCCAUUUUAAUAACUAAAAUAAAGAAAAAUAAAAAAAUUUAGGUGUCCAUAAUUCCUAACAUAUUUAUACUAAUGUAACAUGUGUAAAAUUUGUAUGGGAAGAAAUAUUAUUUUAAUUUAUUUUUAUUUGUGUUCUUAUUGAAUCAAAACAUAAUUUUUUCAUUAUAUUAAUUUUGUUAAAAAUAAAAGAAUAACAAAGAAGAGAAGAAAAAAAAGGGGAAGGGGGGGGCGGGGGAACCACACACGCCCUUGCCCAAACCCUCCCCCACCUCACCCAAACCAAUAUCUCUACUAUCUUAUUUUUGAUAUUUAAUAGAAUAAAAUUAAAUUUUAAAUAAUCAAGAAAUAACUAAAUAGAAAAAUCUAUUAUAAUUCAAAAUCUCAUAACAAUUUCAGUUUUAAAAGAAAGUUACACAUAUUCUUCAAUGAUUCUGUAUUUUCACAAAAUAUGCCUAAGAGUUAGAAAGUUUUCCCUAACUUAAAAUUUUUGAAAAUAUUUUUUCUUUAUAUGAAAAACACCAAAAAAGACCCGCUUAUUUCAUAUUUAAAGCUUCAUAAAUUACGUAUAUCUUAUUCUCAUUUCGAUAAGAUAUAUAGAUAAAUCUUUAAUUUUUGUGACUUUAAAAAGUUAAAUGGUUGCUAAAAAGUGAGAAAUAUUUUUUUGAAGUAAGACUAUCAAUUUGAAAUGAAAAGUAUUGCUACAUUAUAGGUUUUACACUUGCUUAAUUUUACUUUAACAAUAGAGUAUCAAUUAUAAAUAAAUAGUGGAAGUGUAAUUGUUUUUAUAUUUGAUUUUUCUAGUAUCUUAUAAGGUGGACCCCAUGACAAUUUGCAUUACUGGUUUUCAGUCAUCGAUUUUGAUGGUUCUUUUUUUUUUAUCUUCCAAGACAAUUAAUUAAUUUUAAAAGGAAAAAAUUAAAAGAAUCAAAAUAGGAAACAUAAAAAAAAACUUUCUUUUCAGGUGGUUCAAUCACACUUCUACAAAAAAGAGAAAAAUAUCUUCCUUUUCUUCUUCUUUAUCUUCUUCAUCUUCCUUUCCUUUCUCAUCUCCCACGUUCAACUUUAAAACAAAUAUAUAGAGAAAAAUGAUAACAAAAAUUGAAAAGAAAUCAACAAGAAAGGUCUUUUCUUUGUAUUUCAUAUUCUUUAACCCUAUAUUCACAUAAUCACUGGUUGAUCUUUAAUGAAUAUGUAGAUCUUACUUUUAUUGGCUUUGUUUUAUUAUCAUUUUUCACACUCUGUGGUUCAGUAAUUGACCGGAGACUAUACCAUAUAAGGCCUAAUCACAACUUAGUCUUCUUUUUUAUUUUUUCUUUAUUUAGGAGAUCAAUUGUUAAAGAUAUGAACUUGGUACUAUUUUUAUGAUUUUAUGUGGAGUUUUUAUGUUCUUUUGUUCAUUUUGCACUUAUAAUUUUACUGAAUUGCAGUUUUUACAUUAUGUUUUAAUAGUUAACAGUUUCAUGAAUGAUGAAGUUUAUGUUGCCAUAUAGAAUAGUUUGUGAUGAUAUACUUCAUAAACUUUCACUUAUGUUAAAUUUGUAAUGAUAAAAUUUAUAUUGUAAAUUAAAAAUUACUUAUAAAAUUGGGCAUUACAACAUAUGAAAGACAAAUUGUGUUACAUAUUUUACUUUUGACUCCAAUAUGAAUAUCUCAAUUUAAAUCUUUGUUUUAUUUUCUCUUUCUUUUUACAGGUAUAAAAGGUGAGAAUUGAAGCAAGAUUGAUUGCAAGCUAUGUGUCACCACAUUAUUGAUACUUUGGAAGGAAUUUUUACUUAUAUGUCUUUGUUUAGGAAUAAUUUUUGAUAUAUUUUAGUUAGAUUUUUU